GACGAACGCUGGCGGCGUGCCUAACACAUGCAAGUCGAGCGGUAAGGCCCUUUCGGGGGUACACGAGCGGCGAACGGGUGAGUAACACGUGGGUGACCUGCCCUCAGCUCUGGGAUAAGCCUGGGAAACCGGGUCUAAUACCGGAUAUGACUCCAUGACGCAUGUUGUGGGGUGGAAAGCCUUGUGCGGCUGAGGAUGGGCCCGCGGCCUAUCAGCUUGUUGGUGGGGUGAUGGCCUACCAAGGCGACGACGGGUAGCCGGCCUGAGAGGGCGACCGGCCACACUGGGACUGAGACACGGCCCAGACUCCUACGGGAGGCAGCAGUGGGGAAUCUUGCGCAAUGGGCGAAAGCCUGACGCAGCGACGCCGCGUGAGGGAUG
Molecule: ribosomal RNA, 381 nt
Filed under: uncultured bacterium
Lineage: Bacteria
Description: bacterial SSU rRNA
Rfam family: Bacterial small subunit ribosomal RNA
Source: RNAcentral